UGUAAUACACAAAACAUGCAGUUGAAAUGCUAAGGCUUGGAAAAUAGGCCCAAACCAGAGUUGACCUAUAGAUGAAUCCUCUAUAUUUUAUAACUUAUAACCAUUGUGCUAGUAGUAGGUAUUGUACUAGGUUAUAACAAACCACCUAUACUGAUGUAAAAAGUGCUAAAAUGUUGAAGUAUUGAAGCUUGAGCAACAGGCUCUGAGCCAAAGCUGCUAACUUAGUAUGGAGUCAUUAACAAAAUAUGUAUGUUCAUUAAUGAAAGAUGUAGCUUAGAU
This is a long non-coding RNA of Athene cunicularia (burrowing owl), 279 nucleotides long. RefSeq lists it as uncharacterized. The transcript has 4 exons. NCBI's taxonomy places the organism in Eukaryota, Metazoa, Chordata, Aves, Strigiformes, Strigidae. The record is from RefSeq and is a predicted model, not a curated record.